RNAcentral lists this ribosomal RNA (433 nucleotides) under uncultured Anaerovorax sp. RNAcentral's name for it is "bacterial SSU rRNA". It matches the Rfam family "Bacterial small subunit ribosomal RNA", at positions 341 to 792 of the family's 1533-position model. The record is from RNAcentral. Lineage: Bacteria; Bacillati; Bacillota; Clostridia; Peptostreptococcales; Anaerovoracaceae.
ACGGAAGGCAGCAGUGGGGAAUAUUGCACAAUGGGGGAAACCCUGAUGCAGCAACGCCGCGUGAAGGAUGAAGGCCCUUGGGUCGUAAACUUCUGUUCUAAGGGAAGAUAAUGACGGUACCUUAGGAGCAAGUCCCGGCUAACUACGUGCCAGCAGCCGCGGUAAUACGUAGGGGGCAAGCGUUAUCCGGAAUUAUUGGGCGUAAAGAGUACGUAGGCGGUUAUCUAAGCAUGGGGUUUAAGGCACUGGCUUAACCAAUGUUCGCCCCAUGAACUGGACUACUUGAGUGCAGGAGAGGAAAGCGGAAUUCCUAGUGUAGCGGUGAAAUGCGUAGAUAUUAGGAGGAACACCAGUGGCGAAGGCGGCUUUCUGGACUGUAACUGACGCUGAGGUACGAAAGUGUGGGGAGCAAACAGGAUUAGAUACCCUGGUA